GGGCCCGUAACUCAGCUUGGCCAGAGUAGCGGCCUUUUAAGCCGACAGCCGCGGGUUCAAAUCCCGCCGGGCCCA
This 75-nucleotide transfer RNA is filed under the name Microcaldota archaeon. Its description in RNAcentral is "tRNA-Lys". It matches the Rfam family "tRNA". Rfam says of the family: Transfer RNA (tRNA) molecules are approximately 80 nucleotides in length. Their secondary structure includes four short double-helical elements and three loops (D, anti-codon, and T loops). Lineage: Archaea; Nanobdellati; Microcaldota. The record is from RNAcentral. RNAcentral also lists the same sequence under 1 other name.